This 74-nucleotide transfer RNA is filed under the name Oikopleura dioica. It matches the Rfam family "tRNA". Rfam says of the family: Transfer RNA (tRNA) molecules are approximately 80 nucleotides in length. The record is from Rfam by way of RNAcentral. Lineage: Eukaryota; Metazoa; Chordata; Appendicularia; Copelata; Oikopleuridae.
GCGCGUGUAGCUCAGCUGGUCAGAGCAUGCGCUUGAUAAGCGCAGGGUCACUGGUUCAAAUCCAGUCACGCGCA